UACGUAGGGGGCUAGCGUUGUCCGGAAUCAUUGGGCGUAAAGAGCGCGUAGGCGGCCAGAUAAGUCCGGUGUGAAAGUCACAGGCUCAACCUGUGAAUGCCGCUGGAAACUGUCUGGCUAGAGUCCGGAAGGGGCGAGUGGAAUUCCUGGUGUAGCGGUGAAAUGCGCAGAUAUCAGGAAGAACACCUAUGGCGAAGGCAGCUCUCUGGGACGGUACUGACGCUGAGACGCGAAAGCGUGGGGAGCGAACAGG
Molecule: ribosomal RNA, 253 nt
Filed under: uncultured bacterium
Lineage: Bacteria
Description: partial 16S ribosomal RNA
Rfam family: Bacterial small subunit ribosomal RNA
Source: RNAcentral